CACGUAGGGUGCGAGCGUUGUCCGGAAUUAUUGGGCGUAAAGAGCUCGUAGGCGGUGUGUCGCGUCGGCCGUGAAAACCUGCAGCUUAACUGUGGGCUUGCGGUCGAUACGGGCAUCACUGGAGUUCGGCAGGGGAGACUGGAAUUCCUGGUGUAGCGGUGAAAUGCGCAGAUAUCAGGAGGAACACCGGUGGCGAAGGCGGCCUUCUGGGCCAUUCUUGACGCUGAGACGCGAAAGCGUGGGUAGCAAACAGG
Molecule: ribosomal RNA, 254 nt
Filed under: uncultured bacterium
Lineage: Bacteria
Description: partial 16S ribosomal RNA
Rfam family: Bacterial small subunit ribosomal RNA
Source: RNAcentral